CCUACGGGAGGCAGCAGUGGGGAAUAUUGGACAAUGGGCGCAAGCCUGAUCCAGCCAUGCCGCGUGAGUGAUGAAGGCCUUAGGGUUGUAAAGCUCUUUCAGUAGGGAAGAUAAUGACGGUACCUACAGAAGAAGCCCCGGCUAACUUCGUGCCAGCAGCCGCGGUAAUACGAAGGGGGGCUAGCGUUGUUCGGAUUUACUGGGCGUAAAGCGCACGUAGGCGGAUCGUUAAGUUAGGGGUGAAAUCCUGGAGCUCAACUCCAGAACUGCCUCUAAUACUGGCGAUCUAGAGUCCGGAAGAGGUGAGUGGAACUCCUAGUGUAGAGGUGGAAUUCGUAGAUAUUAGGAAGAACACCAGUGGCGAAGGCGGCUCACUGGUCCGGUACUGACGCUGAGGUGCGAAAGCGUGGAGAGCAAACAGGAUUAGAUACCCUGGUAGUCCACGCCGUAAACUAUGAGAGCUAGCCGUUGGGGAGUUUACUCCUCAGUGGCGCAGCUAACGCAUUAAGCUCUCCGCCUGGGGAGUACGGUCGCAAGAUUAAACUCAAAGGAAUUGACGG
RNAcentral lists this ribosomal RNA (560 nucleotides) under uncultured bacterium. RNAcentral's name for it is "bacterial SSU rRNA". It matches the Rfam family "Bacterial small subunit ribosomal RNA", at positions 338 to 916 of the family's 1533-position model. The record is from RNAcentral.